UUAAGGGUGCAGGGCGGAUGCCUUGGCACUAGGAGCCGAUGAAGGACGUGAUAAGCUGCGAUAAGCUUCGGGGAGUUGCACGUAAACUUUGAUCCGAAGAUUUCCGAAUGAGGAAACUCACUUAGAGUAAUGUCUAAGUAUCAUUAAGUGAAUACAUAGCUUAAUGAGGGGAACUCAGGGAACUGAAACAUCUAAGUACCUGAAGGAAGAGAAAGAAAUUCGAUUCCGUAAGUAGCGGCGAGCGAACGCGGAUUAGCCCAAACCAAUAAAGUUUUCUUUAUUGGGGUUGCGGACAUAUCAUAACGAAGAGGUAUCGUAAUUGAAGAGGUUUGGAAAGACCCACCACAGAAGGUAAUAGUCCUGUAUGUUAAACGAGAAGACUUUAGAUAUGAUCCAGAGUACCACGGGACACGUGAAACCCUGUGGGAAGCAGGAGGGACCACCCUCCAAGGCUAAAUACUACCUAGUGACCGAUAGCGUAUAGUACCGUGAGGGAAAGGUGAAAAGAACCCCGGGAGGGGAGUGAAAUAGAACCUGAAACCCUGCACUUACAAGCUGUGGAAGCACAUUUCUUGUGUGACCGCGUACUUUUUGUAGAACGGGCCAACGAGUUACGUUAAGUAGCAAGGUUAAGCACUUAAGGUGCGGAGCCGUAGCGAAAGCGAGUUUUAACUGAGCGUUCAGUUACUUGACGUAGACCCGAAACCGGGCGACCUACCCAUGAGCAGGAUGAAGCGAAAGUAAAAUUUCGUGGAGGUCCGAACCCACGAGCGUUGAAAAGCUCGGGGAUGACUUGUGGGUAGCGGUGAAAUUCCAAUCGAGCCCGGAGAUAGCUGGUUCUCCCCGAAAUAGCUUUAGGGCUAGCCUCAAGGUGAGAGAUACGGAGGUAGAGCACUGAAUGUCCUAGGGGGUAUUGCACCUACCGAAGACUAUCAAACUCCGAAUGCCGUCAUCUUAUACUUGGGAGUCAGACUGUGGGUGAUAAGAUUCAUAGUCGAAAGGGCAACAGCCCAGAUCGUCAGCUAAGGUCCCUAAAUGUAAGUUAAGUGGUAAAGGAUGUGGGAUUGCACAGACAACCAGGAUGUUGGCUUAGAAGCAGCCACUCAUUCAAAGAGUGCGUAAUAGCUCACUGGUCGAGUGAUCCUGCGCCGAAGAUUUCCGGGGCUAAAACUUACUACCGAAGCUACGGCAUCAGUAAUGAUGGGUAGGGGAGCUUCCCAUACGGGUUGAAGCAUGACCGUAAGGACAUGUGGACAGUAUGGGAGUGAGAAUGUUGGCAUGAGUAGCGAGAUGUGGGUGAGAAUCCCACAGGCCGUAAACCCAAGGUUUCCAGGGGAAGGUUCGUCCGCCCUGGGUUAGUCGGGACCUAAGCUGAGGCCGAAAGGCGUAGGUGAUGGACAACAGGUUGAUAUUCCUGUACUACCGAUAACCGUUUGAGAGAAGGGAUGACACAGUAGGAUAAGCUAAGCACACUGUUGGUUAUGUGUGCCAAAGCAUGAGCGCAGUCCAAGUAGGCAAAUCCGCUUUGAUAAUGCUGGGAUGUGAUGGGGAGCGAAAUUUAGUAGCGAAGUAGCUGAUUUCACACUGUCAAGAAAAGUCUCUAUCGAGGUUAAAGGUACCCGUACCGCAAACCGACACAGGUGGGUGAGGAGAGUAUCCUAAGGCCAGCGAGAGAACUGUUGUUAAGGAACUCGGCAAAAUGACCCCGUAACUUAGGGAUAAGGGGUGCCACCAUCAGGUGGCCGCAGAGAAUAGGCCCAAGCGACUGUUUACCAAAAACAUAGGUUUCUGCUAAGUCGCAAGACGAUGUAUAGGAGCUGACGCCUGCCCGGUGCUGGAAGGUUAAGGGGAUCUGUUAGAGCAAUCGAAGCAGUGAACUUAAGCCCCAGUAAACGGCGGCCGUAACUAUAACGGUCCUAAGGUAGCGAAAUUCCUUGUCGGGUAAGUUCCGACCCGCACGAAAGGCGUAACGAUUUGGGCACUGUCUCAACAACAGACUCGGUGAAAUUGUAAUUCCGGUGAAGAUGCCGGAUACCUGCGACAGGACGGAAAGACCCCAUGGAGCUUUACUGUAGCUUGACAUUGGGUCUUGGUACUACAUGUACAGGAUAGGUGGGAGGCUUUGAAACCAGGACGCCAGUUUUGGCGGAGCCAUCCUUGGGAUACCACCCUUGUAGUACUGGGACUCUAACCAUAGGCCAUGAAUCUGGUCUUGGGACACUGUCAGGUGGGCAGUUUGACUGGGGCGGUCGCCUCCCAAAAGGUAACGGAGGCGCUCAAAGGUUCUCUCAGUACGGUCGGAAAUCGUACGUAGAGUGUAAAGGCAAAAGAGAGCUUGAUUGCAAGACAUACAGGUCGAGCAAGGAUGAAAAUCGGACUUAGUGAUCCGGUGGUUCUGCGUGGAAGGGCCAUCGCUCAACGGAUAAAAGCUACCCUGGGGAUAACAGGCUUAUCUCCCCCAAGAGUCCACAUCGACGGGGAGGUUUGGCACCUCGAUGUCGGCUCAUCACAUCCUGGGGCUGUAGUAGGUCCCAAGGGUUGGGCUGUUCGCCCAUUAAAGUGGUACGCGAGCUGGGUUCAGAACGUCGUGAGACAGUUCGGUCCCUAUCCGUCGCAGGCGUAGGAAAUUUGAGAAGACCUGUCCUUAGUACGAGAGGACCGGGAUGGACGUACCUCUGGUGUACCAGUUGUUCUGCCAAGGGCAUGGCUGGGUAGCUAUGUACGGAAUGGAUAAGCGCUGAAAGCAUCUAAGCGCGAAGCCAACUUCAAGAUAAGAUUUCCCACCGCAAGGGUAAGACCCCAGAAAGACUAUCUGGUUGAUAGGUCGAAGGUGUAAGUGCAGCAAUGUAUUUAGCUUAUCGAUACUAAUAGGUCGAGGACUUGACC
RNAcentral lists this ribosomal RNA (2886 nucleotides) under Clostridioides difficile 2007855. RNAcentral describes it as "bacterial LSU rRNA". It matches the Rfam family "Bacterial large subunit ribosomal RNA". The record is from RNAcentral. Lineage: Bacteria; Bacillati; Bacillota; Clostridia; Peptostreptococcales; Peptostreptococcaceae.